CAACGUCCAUGACAGGGAGGCAGCAGGGUAGGGAAUUAUUGACAAUGGGCGCAAGCCUGAUCCAGCCAUGCCGCGUGUGUGAAGAAGGCCUUCGGGUUGUAAAGCACUUUCAGUCGUGAGGAAGGUAGUGUAGUUAAUAGCUGCAUUAUUUGACGUUAGCGACAGAAGAAGCACCGGCUAACUCCGUGCCAGCAGCCGCGGUAAUACGGAGGGUGCGAGCGUUAAUCGGAAUUACUGGGCGUAAAGCGCAUGCAGGUGGUUUGUUAAGUCAGAUGUGAAAGCCCGGGGCUCAACCUCGGAAUUGCAUUUGAAACUGGCAGACUAGAGUACUGUAGAGGGGGGUAGAAUUUCAGGUGUAGCGGUGAAAUGCGUAGAGAUCUGAAGGAAUACCGGUGGCGAAGGCGGCCCCUGGACAGAUACUGACACUCAGAUGCGAAAGCGUGGGAGCAAACAGGAUUAGAUACCCUGGUAGG
Molecule: ribosomal RNA, 473 nt
Filed under: uncultured bacterium
Lineage: Bacteria
Description: bacterial SSU rRNA
Rfam family: Bacterial small subunit ribosomal RNA
Source: RNAcentral